GGGAGUGAAAUAGAACAUGAAAUCGUGAGUUUACAAGCAGUAGGAGAGCGACUUAACGCUCAACUUCGUGCCUGUUGAAGAAUGAGCUGGCGACUUGUAGGUUGUGGCAAGGUUAAGAUAAGAGAAUAUCGGAGCCAUAGUGAAAGCGAGCCUGAAAAGGGCUUUAAGUCAUAAUUUACAGACCCGAACCCGGAUGAUCUAACCAUGGCCAGUGUGAAGCUUAGGUAACACUAAGUGGAGGUACCAACCGACUGUUGUUGAAAAAACAGCGGAUGAGUUGUGGUUAGGGGUGAAAUUCCAAUCGAAUCCGGAGCUAGCUGGAUCUCCCCGAAAUGCGUUGAGGCGCAGCG
RNAcentral lists this ribosomal RNA (350 nucleotides) under Eutreptiella gymnastica. Its description in RNAcentral is "partial Bacterial large subunit ribosomal RNA". It matches the Rfam family "Bacterial large subunit ribosomal RNA", at positions 534 to 881 of the family's 2925-position model. Lineage: Eukaryota; Euglenozoa; Euglenophyceae; Eutreptiales; Eutreptiaceae. The record is from RNAcentral.